AUGGCAACGCGAGCGGUCCACCACUCGCGACGUCAUGAGAAGUCCACUGAACCUUAUUAUUUAGAGGAAGGAGAAGUCGUAACAAGGUUUUCGUAGGUGAAUCUGCAGAAGGAUCAUUG
Molecule: ribosomal RNA, 119 nt
Filed under: Calamus fissus
Lineage: Eukaryota; Viridiplantae; Streptophyta; Magnoliopsida; Arecales; Arecaceae
Description: partial 18S ribosomal RNA
Rfam family: Eukaryotic small subunit ribosomal RNA
Source: RNAcentral